ACCCCGCACAAGCGGUGGAUCAUGUUGUUUAAUUCGAUGAUACGCGAAGAACCUUACCAGGUCUUGACAUCCCCCGCGAUGCUUUAGAGAUAAAGCGGAGGUAUUCGGGGAGACAGGUGGUGCAUGGUUGUCGUCAGCUCGUGUCGUGAGAUGUUGGGUUAAGUCCCGCAACGAGCGCAACCCUAUUGCUAGUUACCAUCAUUAAGUUGGGGACUCUAGCGAGGCUGCCAGUGAUAAACUGGAGGAAGGUGGGGAUGACGUCAAAUCAUCAUGCCCCUUAUGACCUGGGCUACAAACGUGAUACAAUGGCUGGAACAAAGGGAUGCGAAGCAGUGAUGUGGAGCGAAACCCAUAAAAACAGUCUCAGUUCGGAUUGAAGUCUGCAACUCGACUUCAUGAAGUCGGAAUCGCUAGUAAUCGCGGAUCAGAACGCCGCGGUGAAUACGUUCUCGGGGUUU
RNAcentral lists this ribosomal RNA (458 nucleotides) under uncultured Acholeplasma sp. RNAcentral describes it as "bacterial SSU rRNA". It matches the Rfam family "Bacterial small subunit ribosomal RNA", at positions 918 to 1382 of the family's 1533-position model. The record is from RNAcentral. Lineage: Bacteria; Bacillati; Mycoplasmatota; Mollicutes; Acholeplasmatales; Acholeplasmataceae.